Rattus rattus (black rat) is the source of this 595-nucleotide long non-coding RNA. RefSeq lists it as uncharacterized. Lineage: Eukaryota; Metazoa; Chordata; Mammalia; Rodentia; Muridae. The record is from RefSeq and is a predicted model, not a curated record. The transcript has 2 exons.
UGACUGCGGUUCCCUCAGUGAUGGGCUAGAAGUGUUCAAUGAAUUUUCCUAAACAAGCUGCUUGCUGUCAGACUAUGUUAUCACAGCAAUAAGAGAGACUGGAGCACAGACCUCUCAGAUCUUGGAGGCUGCGGUCUGGAUCCGUCGCCAAGGAUGAGAUCCAGGAGAAAACGUGCUCAACGUGCAGCUUUGCUCCUACUGAUUACAGCCCCACAGAUGACAUCGCUCCACAGUCACACCAAGUCUCCUGUGGGAGUCUUGCUCCUCGUUCCCAGCGUCUGCUACAGCUCAGUAUUUUAGUGUCAGAACGUCGGCUCCCAGCCCGCACCUCCGCUCAGCAAUGCCAUUAUCUUCUCAGCCAAGUCCUAGAAAUGGGUUGGCUUCCCAGUUAAUGCUUUUCAUGCUCUCAAGAGCAAUCGGAGGCUUUCAUACCCAAUUCCUGGAUUCAGUGCUACCCCCUGCAGGAUCUGGCUCCAUUUCCUCAGUCUGGUCCUAAUUCUGUGCAAUGACAUCAUUUACCCACAUUCCCACCGAGAUGCCCAGAUUUCUUCUAGCCGGCGUACAUCAAAAAAAAAAAAAAAAAAAAAAAAACAAA